UCUUGUUUAGCUCUCAGUUUGGGAAAAAGAUGGAAAACAUACUUUAAAAAAAAGUAUUUAAAGAAUUAUCCAUAUUCAUACCUGAGCUAAAACUAUAAAAGUUGAAAAUCACUUAAUUCAUACCAAGUAGGGAUAUCUGUCUGUAGCUUUGGACAUGAGAAAAGGGAAAAACUUCCACAGAAUUCUGCACCUCCAUGGUGUACUAAAGCCCUUAUGAAAUCUUUUUCAUUAUGAUUAUAUUUAGUAGAAGACUUGAAUGUGUGCAGUGUUAUGAUACAACAGCUGCUAUUGCCUGCAAUUCCCACAAAACAUGCAUUUUGUAACGGAAUCAUUUCACUGAAUUACUAAUAAAUACAACUUGGUGUCAGACGAUACAUAACAGAAAUAAUCUACUGUUUGAGAAUUUCUCUCCAAAUGGCAGCUCACUAAGAAAAGAGGCUGCUCAGCAUUGUGGUGUUUAUUUCCAACCACCAAUAACAUCAAGCUUACAGUUUAUGAAAUCUGCAAAGAGUUAAGAAAGCUCGGAGCUGCCUAGCAAUGCUUUUGUGAUUCACUGCUACUAAGACCCUUAACUUCCAGUUACCAAUUUGUGAUAUAUACCACAAACUUUAUAUGGCUAACGACAGUAGUCUUGCCAUCAUUCUUUGUUUCAGACAGCAUUCCCAUUCCCCAGGAAUCCAGGGACUCCAGUGUGAAAAUCAGAGUCUGGCAGAACUCUGCAAUGUUAUUCAGUGCAUAAAUCUAUCUACUGGAUUAGUCUUUUCCAGUAAUUAUUAAUGGACCUUUUAUGCAUUGAUGUAAAAUGAGACAGGCCACUCUUUCUGAAACAGUGACUAAGCUAAGGAACAAAAAGCAUAUACAGGUUUUAGCAUCUAGUAACUGUUGUACAUCCACACUUUUCCAUGUAACCAAUUUUGAGUGUCUUUUUUUAUUUCUCUGUGAAACUUCAUAAGGCUUUAUCUUGUGCAGAUAUGACAUGUUGGCUUUAUUUAACUUUUCUAAUGCUUUACAAAUGCUUCAUGUCUUCAGCAGUUAGGUCGUGUUUAAUUUUGAACAACAUGGCAGAAUAUAUCCUGAAAAGAAAUCUGUCAAAAUUAUUGCAGAUUAAUAGCUGAUAAAUGAUACUGAAUUGUUAAUACCCAUGUUUCCAGUUAUUUUCUAAACUGUCAAAAGUUUAUCACUAAAUAAUAAACUUCCAAAGAAAUACAAAAAUCUAAUUAAUUUACAAUUGUAAAAUUUCCCAGUUUUUCUCUCAAAGGCACUGUGGUUCUUGUUCAGACUGACAAUUUCCUCAAAUUAACUCGACUAAUUUACUAUAUUUGAAAAGUCUUUUAGAAAAAUAACUCAGCAUCUGAAAUUGUGGGUGUUUACAACAUUCAUUUUUUUCAGCAUAACAGAAAUUGCAGCAAUCUAUUUCAGUUUUCUCUGCCCUAGAUUCAGGAAAUGAUGCAAGUUAAUUUCUGUUUGAAAUGCUCAGAAGUAUAGCACCUUGGAAAAGGAAAUUUUCCAGACCUGAGAUUGUAUGACUACUCAUACUUUUGUCUGGCUCAAAAUACAGGUUGUAAAAGACUUUGAAACAUGGUUUUGAAUAGUACUGGAGGCAAUCCAAAGACAAAUUUAAUUUGAAUUUUUUGUCUUAGCUGAUACAAAUUCAACAAGAGCGAAAAUAUGUUCUGUAGGUCUUCUUAGGCACCUUACUACAUAGGAGAAACUGUAAGUGCAGAAUUUGAAACUUAAGCACAUCCUUAAUGAGGAUACAACUGAAAUAAAACUACUUCCAAGGUCAGUAUUAAUCCAAUACUUCUGGAGUCAGACUGCAUGGCAUGUGCAUGAGAAGAAAAACGGUAGAUGAUGCUCCCUGAUGAGGGACCAGGACAGGCAGGUAUAAUGGUCAAACAGAAACAUGACGCCUUCUCCAAUCUCCUGCCAUUGGUGGUUCCAGCAGAGAGAGGGGCUGGCUGGCAUGAACACCCUGUCCAUUGACCCGUACUGCCUCCCAGUGGGCAUCGGCUACUUCUCUUUCGGGAUAAAACACAGGGGGGUUUAAAAUGCCUGGUACAGAAGCCAUUGUCCUCGGAUAGCUAAUGGGGGAGGUCACUGACAGCAAGACUUUGGGUAUCUAAAACCACAACGACAAAAUUCUUGCUCAUCUUCCAAGUGUGUAGCUCUCUGUGAAAUCACGGAUGCAUGGUUUACCUUUGCCUAUGUUCAUGCAGAACAUACACCUCCAUAAGAAAAAAAAACCCCAAACUGGUUUCAGCCGGCAGCCUUACAAAUGUGAGUUCUCAUCAUAUCAACUUGCACACAGAGGACUCUGUCCCCACCACUCUCAGCUCUGAGGAGCAGCAGCAGAGUGGUAUCACAUCCCAUGGCUGUACCCUCCAUGCAGUGCUAUGAGUAACUUUUUUUUCUUCUCACUUUUUUUGAAUGUGCUGAGAGCAACAGCACAGGACAUUAAAAUGGGAUGCCAAAAAUGAAGAAUGAAACAACAUGAGGAAAGAGCACUGUUUGCUGCAGUAAGGUCUCCACAAAGGAGUGAAGGAAGAGUUGGGGAAACGCUUUUGUACUUCUUUGACAGCCUACAGACUUUCACAGUUUACAGCCUCAACUUGCCUGUUCCUUCUGGGCUCAGCAAGACAAGAGAUCCGUUCAGAGCUGGGCACCUCAACUCUAUGUGUUAACUCAACUCUAACCCAAAAAAACCCCUAACAAUCCCUCCCAGCCUUGUGCAGAUGUUGUUACCUACCUGAAAACAGUCACCUGAAUCUUUGUUUUGGGAUAUUUGUGUGGUUGCUGCAACUUCAGACAGGGAGCGGGCUUUGGGGAAAACAGUUCUGUGCUCCUGUGGAAGUCACAGACACUUGUAAGGAUUAGAGCUGUUGCCCGUGCCUUAAACUUUGCAUUUGUCUAUGUCUCAUACCUUGAUCUUACAGAAUGGGGAAGAAAAAGACAACACUCAGUGCUGUAGCACAAGUUUCAUGAAUAAACAAAGCCUUCUGUGUCUA
Corvus hawaiiensis (hawaiian crow) is the source of this 3005-nucleotide long non-coding RNA. RefSeq lists it as uncharacterized. Lineage: Eukaryota; Metazoa; Chordata; Aves; Passeriformes; Corvidae. The transcript has 2 exons. The record is from RefSeq and is a predicted model, not a curated record.